AGAACGAACGCUGGCGGCAUGCCUAAUACAUGCAAGUCGAACGAACACUUCGGUGUUAGUGGCGCACGGGUGCGUAACGCGUGGGAAUCUGCCCUUGGGUUCGGAAUAACAGUUGGAAACGACUGCUAAUACCGGAUGAUAUCGAAAGAUCAAAGAUUUAUCGCCCAGGGAUGAGCCCGCGUAGGAUUAGCUAGUUGGUGAGGUAAAGGCUCACCAAGGCGACGAUCCUUAGCUGGUCUGAGAGGAUGAUCAGCCACACUGGGACUGAGACACGGCCCAGACUCCUACGGGAGGCAGCAGUAGGGAAUAUUGGACAAUGGGCGCAAGCCUGAUCCAGCAAUGCCGCGUGAGUGAUGAAGGCCUUAGGGUGUAAAGCUCUUUUACCCGAGAUGAUAAUGACAGUAUCGGAGAAUAAGCCCCGGCUAACCUCCGUGCCAGCAGCCGCGGU
This 448-nucleotide ribosomal RNA is filed under the name uncultured soil bacterium. RNAcentral describes it as "bacterial SSU rRNA". It matches the Rfam family "Bacterial small subunit ribosomal RNA", at positions 26 to 521 of the family's 1533-position model. The record is from RNAcentral.